UUAAAGCAGAGGUAGGCAAACUUUUUCCUGCUAAGGCCAUUUGGAUAUUUAUAAUACCACUGAUUUAAUAUAAUUCACUUAAUAUAACUUUAUGUUGCUAUGAAAAAAGCUUCUAGAUUUAUUGAAUUUCGAGUCCUGCCUGUGGUUGCCUUGGCUGGGCCAGACCAAAUGAUUUCUUGGGCCUUAUAUGCGGGCGAAUGUGCCCCACCCCUGCUUUAGAGCAACUAACUCAGACCCAUCGACACCUUUUCAGUUGGGGCAUAAAUGUCUUCGGGUGAUUUCAGCAGACCAGAGGUUAAGCUUUCCCGGGUCUUGGACAACUGAGAAUUCCAUGAAGUAUAUGGGGAAGUUUUCAUUCUCUAUGAGCAGGCAUAAGCUUUGGGCAUUCUGUGUAUUUUUAGGGGGACCAUGAACCACCUGAGGCCCAUCAUUGUUGAGAACCCCCACUCUGGCCUUUCAUUUGGACUCUGCAGGGGCAGAAAGCCCAUGGGCGAGACCUGAGUCUAAGCAGUUUGUCACGUGUUUUGAGCAGAUGGCUCCUGAAUGCAGAACACCAUGGAGAAGAGCGAUGAGAGCAGGAGCCGGGGGACAGCUCAUGGCCUUGACGUUAGAUCUGCUGAGAAGCCGUCUCUCAGGUUUGAGAUUUAUAUGUACAUUGAAGAAAAGGAGGAAGUGGCCUCAUGCCCAUAAACAAACAUUCAAGCAUCUUUGCCCCAAAAUGAGGACAUUUAGCACGACGCUAUUAAAAACAGGUCUGUCUACCUGGAUAUCUGUUUACACCCUUUCAAGUAUUCUCACCUGAGACAAGACCAAACCAGAAGAACUACAUUAGUAAAAUGAUUCAUGGGCCACAAUUCAAGGGACAGCCUGGAAUAUAAAAAACCCUUCAAAAGUUAUUGCAGGAUGACGUGAUUGACUCCAGCAGGAUUCCAAAUCGGAAGAAACAGAUUAUAUGGCAUGGAGGGCAAACCACGGAUAAUCAAGGUAUCUGUGUUAUGGCUGUGCCCCUAACCCAGGGGUGGGCAAACUUUUUGACUCGAGGGCCACAAUGGGUUCUUAAACUGGACAGGCGGGCCGGAACAAAAGCAUGGAUGGAGUGUUUGUGUGAACUAAUAUAAAUUCAAAGUAAACAUCAUUACAUAAAAGGGUACGGUCUUUUUUUUUUUUUUUUUUUUUUUUUU
Long non-coding RNA from Myotis daubentonii (Daubenton's bat), 1181 nucleotides. RefSeq lists it as uncharacterized. NCBI's taxonomy places the organism in Eukaryota, Metazoa, Chordata, Mammalia, Chiroptera, Vespertilionidae. The record is from RefSeq and is a predicted model, not a curated record.